This 542-nucleotide ribosomal RNA is filed under the name uncultured bacterium. RNAcentral's name for it is "bacterial SSU rRNA". It matches the Rfam family "Bacterial small subunit ribosomal RNA", at positions 777 to 1317 of the family's 1533-position model. The record is from RNAcentral.
AAUAGAUACCCUGGUAGUCCACGCCGUAAACGAUGUCGACUAGCCGUUGGGGACCUUCGUGUCCUUGGUGGCGUAGCUAACGCGCUAAGUCGACCGCCUGGGGAGUACGGUCGCAAGAUUAAAACUCAAAUGAAUUGACGGGGGCCCGCACAAGCGGUGGAGCAUGUGGUUUAAUUCGACGCAACGCGAAGAACCUUACCAGGUCUUGACAUCCAGAGAACUUUCCAGAGAUGGAUUGGUGCCUUCGGGAACUCUGAGACAGGUGCUGCAUAGCUGUCGUCAGCUCGUGUCGUGAGAUGUUGGGUUAAGUCCCGUAACGAGCGCAACCCUUAUCCUUAUUUGCCAGCACGUCAUGGUGGGAACUUUAAGGAGACUGCCGGUGACAAACCGGAGGAAGGUGGGGAUGACGUCAAGUCAUCAUGGCCCUUACGACCUGGGCUACACACGUGCUACAAUGGAACGUACAGAGGGCUGCAACCCCGCGAGGGUGAGCUAAUCCCAGAAAGCGUUUCGUAGUCCGGAUUGGAGUCUGCAACUCGACU